RNAcentral lists this ribosomal RNA (1266 nucleotides) under Triticum aestivum (bread wheat). RNAcentral's name for it is "partial small subunit ribosomal RNA". The record is from RNAcentral. Lineage: Eukaryota; Viridiplantae; Streptophyta; Magnoliopsida; Poales; Poaceae.
AUGUCGGUCGCCGUGGCGGCCGCCUCCUCCUACCUCCCCUCUCGCUACGCACUGGGCCACGCCAACUCGCACCGCCCUCUCCGCCCCCUGCGCUUCAUCUCUUCCCCGCCGCAGCCGUGCGCCUCCCCAGCGUCGCUCCUCCGGCGGCGGCGGGCGGCGGCGCCCACCACCUUCUGCUCCGCGCCGUCGCUCGGCCGCGUCGGCUGGCCGCGCCGCGAGGGGAGCGCCUGGCUGCUCUCCUUCAGCGCCGAGGCCGAUGCCUCCCCGUCGGACGCGGAGGGGGCCGUGGACCCCUCCGAGGCGGUCUCCGCGCUGCUCCCGCUCGUCGUCGUCGCCACGGCCGUCGCCGCCCUCGGCAACCCUGCCACUUUCUCCUGGGUCUCCAAGGAGCUGUACGCACCUGCACUCGGAGGCAUCAUGCUCUCCAUUGGCAUCAAACUAUCCUUCGACGACUUCGCUCUGGCCUUCAAGAGGCCAGUGCCGCUGUCGAUUGGAUACAUGGCACAGUACAUGCUCAAGCCUCUGCUGGGAGUGCUGAUCGCAAGGGUGUUCCGGAUGCCAUCGGCCUUCUUCGCGGGUUUCAUGCUUACAUGCUGCGUCUCGGGCGCGCAGCUUUCGAGCUAUGCCAGCUUCCUGGGGAAAGGAGAUGUUGCGUUGAGUAUUCUGCUCACAACCUACUCCACCAUAUCUUCGGUGAUUGUGACACCUAUCCUCACUGGUUUGUUGAUUGGUUCAGUGGUUCCGGUUAAUGGAAUUGCAAUGGCGAAAUCGAUUCUCCAGGUGGUUCUUCUGCCUGUGACACUAGGUCUCCUUCUGAAUACCUAUGCAAAACCAGUGGUUAAUGUCAUACAACCAGUGAUGCCAUUUGUUGCUAUGGUGUGCACAUCACUCUGUAUUGGGAGCCCUCUUGCUAUAAAUAGGACCAUGCUCCUCUCAUCACAGGGAUUCAUGUUACUUCUCCCCAUAGUGACUUUCCACAUUGCGGCCUUUGUUGUGGGUUACUGGGUUUCCAAGUUGCCUCAGUUGAGGCAAGAAGAGCCUGUUUGUAGGACUAUUUCAGUGUGUACUGGAAUGCAGAGCUCCACCCUAGCUGGACUUCUUGCUACGCAAUUUCUUGGAAUCAGCCAGGCAGUUCCUGCAGCAUGUUCUGUUGUUGUCAUGGCAAUAUUUGGUUUGACUCUUGCAUCGUACUGGGGAAGUGGCAUGCGAAUAAGAGACAUUCCUUCGAGAUUCUUCCCACAAGCUUCCGCUGAUGCAAGAUCGUGA